Nycticebus coucang (slow loris) is the source of this 105-nucleotide small nuclear RNA. The record is from RefSeq and is a predicted model, not a curated record. NCBI's taxonomy places the organism in Eukaryota, Metazoa, Chordata, Mammalia, Primates, Lorisidae.
AUUCACUUCAGCAGCACAUAUACUAAAAUUGAAAUGCUACACAGAGGAUUAGGAUGGCCUCUGAGCAAGGAUGACACCCAAAUUCAUGAAGCAUUCCAUAUUAAA